GACGAACGCUGGCGGCGUGCUUAACACAUGCAAGUCGAACGGAAAGGCCCUGCUUUUGUGGGGUGCUCGAGUGGCGAACGGGUGAGUAACACGCGAGUAACCUGCCCUUGACUUUGGGAUAACUCCAGGAAACUGGGGCUAAUACCGGAUAGGAGCUCCUGAUGCAUGGUGGGGGUUGGAAAGUUUCGGUUGUUGGGGAUGGACUCGCGGCUUAUCGGCUUGUUGGUGGGGUAGUGGCUUACCAAGGCUUUGACGGGUAGCCGGCCUGAGAAGGUGUCCGGCCACAAUGGUACUGAGAUACGGCCCAGACUCAGACGGGAGGCAGCAGGGGGAAGUAUUGCAGAAUGGGCAGGAGCCUGAUGCAGCAGCGCCGCGUGCGUAAUGCCGGCCUUCGGGUUGUGAACCGCUUUCUCCUGUGACGAAGCGUGAGUGACGGUAAUGGGUAGAGAAGCACCGGCUAACUACGUG
Molecule: ribosomal RNA, 468 nt
Filed under: uncultured bacterium
Lineage: Bacteria
Description: partial 16S ribosomal RNA
Rfam family: Bacterial small subunit ribosomal RNA
Source: RNAcentral